This is an unclassified non-coding RNA of Chrysemys picta bellii (western painted turtle), 175 nucleotides long. Lineage: Eukaryota; Metazoa; Chordata; Testudines; Emydidae. The record is from Ensembl.
CUGCCAGCCCUGGAGAAUGAAACUCCCUGCUUAUCCACAGAGCUGGAACAUCACAGGCAGCAGCAGUGUGAGCUUCCCCCACACUUCCCAGUCAGUGCGCUUGAGCCAUGACCUGAAGUGACCGCCCCUUGGGCCAGUGGCUAUUUCAGUCUGUGCAGCCCAUUCAGUGGUCUCU